CGUUGCCGCUCUGCAGCUACGCGCGCGUCCGCUAGCACACGGCCGCUAGCUGCACCGCCCAAGAAACAGUAGACGCGCUUUGGAACGGGCAUGUCGCAUUAGAUUCUCCGGAGCAGCAACCAUUGUUUCCUUCCGUAGCUCGCCGUCCCGCUUUGCCGCCGCUUGCCGACUACCGCUGCAGUAGUUGGAGUGUUGCUUUGCGCGCGGCGGUACACUCUUAAUUUGUGUGUGCUCGUGAGCCAACGCUGCCUCACGAGCUUCUCUUGCUGCGGCUGCGUGGUGCUGCUACUCGCGGCGGUCUCUUCGGUCAUGGAUCGGAGUCGGAGGCGGCAAUGGGGCGUCGCCUGCGCGGUGCUGCUCCUGUCGGCGCUCCUGGGGGCCGUAUCCUCGCAGUCGCCGGCUCCGGCGCUGGCGCCCAAGCCGCCAGCUACGCCAUCGCGCACUGCGGUGCCACCGGCGACGAAGCCAGCGCCACCGGCGCCGAAGCAGACACCUAGUCCUUCGGCGUCGCCGGCGCCAAAGCCAUCGACACCGCCUACGGCGUCGCCUGUUCCAAAGCCUCCGUCUCCGCCUGCGCCUGCACAGGCGCCAAAGCCUUCGUCCCCACCACCCGCGGCGUCACCGGUUCCAAAGCCGCCGGCGCAGGCGCCGAAGCCCUCGUCCCCACCACCUGCGGCGCCACCGGUUCCCAAGCCCGUGUCUCCACCACCGGCAGCGCCAAAGCCGUCGCCUGCAGCGCCGGCGCCGUCCCAAAAGCCGGCUCCCGCGCCGGCUCCGAAACCGUCUCCUCCUACGGCGACGGCACCACCACCGACACAAAAACCAUCUGCUCCUCCAACCCCGCCGCCGACUCCGGCGCCGUCGUCCUCGCUGGCUCUAUCGCCGAGCUUCUACGCGAGCUCCUGCCCCAGCGUGGAGCUGGCGGUGAGCGACGUCGUCAGGUCGGCAUCCACCUUGGACCCCACCGUCCCCGGCAAGCUCCUCAGGAUGGUCUUCCACGACUGCUUCGUAGAGGGAUGCGACGCGUCGGUGAUGGUCCAAGGCAACGGCACGGAGAGGACCGAUCCCGCGAACCUCUCGCUCGGCGGGUUCAAUGUGAUCGACGAAGCCAAGAGGCUGCUCGAAGCCGUGUGCCCUGCAACCGUUUCUUGCAGUGACAUCCUAGUCCUCGCUGCAAGAGAUGCUGUCACAUUUACGGGAGGACCAUCGGUGCCCGUCUCCCUUGGGCGACGUGAUAGCCUCGUCUCCCUGGCAUCCAACGUCCGGAGAAACAUCAUCGACACGGGCUUCUCUGUCGACGCCAUGGCGGCCAGCUUCACCUCCAAGGGGCUCACCCUGGAGGACCUUGUCACCCUCUCAGGCGGCCACACGAUCGGGUCAGCGCACUGCGGCACGUUCCGGGAGCGGUUCAGGUCCGACGCGAACGGGAGCAUGGUGCCCGUGGACGGCACGAUGAACACCGACUACGCGAACGAGCUGGUGCGGACGUGCGUGGCGUCGGCGAGCGCAACGGUGGACUGCGACGAGGGGUCGGCGGCGACGUUCGAUAACCGGUACUUCAGCAACCUGCUGGACGGGCGGGGGUUGCUGCGCACGGACGCGGUGCUGGUGCAGAACGCCACGACGAGGGCCACGGUGGCCGCGUUCGCACAGAGCCAGGAUAGCUUCUUCAGCAGCUGGGCGAGCUCGUUCGCCAGGCUCACCAGCCUCGGCGUCAAGACCGGCUCCGACGGCGAGAUCCGGCGGCUCUGCUCAAGCGUCAACGGCGGCUGAUCGGUCGAGUAGUACUUGUUCGGCCAUCCAUGGACAUGUAACAGCAACACAUAUGUUAUAUAGACUUUCGCUAGGUGCUGCGAGGACGUUGUAUUCUGCUGCUGCGACUGGCAAGGCCCCGACGACUUCCACGCCGCAGAUAUCUGCUUCAGCUCUUGCGUCCGCCGAAAAGGCUGCUACCAAGUCCCCUGUGAAAUGAACAUUUGAAGAUCAUGUAAUAGCGUAGGGUUUUGUACUUGUAAGGUUUAAAGACAAGGCUGUGCAACCCUAGGGUGCUGUCCUAA
This is an RNA transcript of Lolium perenne, 2057 nucleotides long. It is a transcript of the gene named peroxidase 18, with no coding region annotated. Lineage: Eukaryota; Viridiplantae; Streptophyta; Magnoliopsida; Poales; Poaceae. The record is from RefSeq and is a predicted model, not a curated record.